RNAcentral lists this small RNA (117 nucleotides) under Marmota monax (woodchuck). Lineage: Eukaryota; Metazoa; Chordata; Mammalia; Rodentia; Sciuridae. The record is from RNAcentral.
GCUGGACAUGGUGACACACACCUGUAGUUCCAGCCAUUUGGGAGGCAGAGGCAGGAGGACUACUUGAGUGCAGGACUUUGAGACCAGCCUAGGCAAUAUAGUAAGACCUUGUCUCGA